Pantherophis guttatus is the source of this 452-nucleotide long non-coding RNA. RefSeq lists it as uncharacterized. The record is from RefSeq and is a predicted model, not a curated record. NCBI's taxonomy places the organism in Eukaryota, Metazoa, Chordata, Lepidosauria, Squamata, Colubridae.
UUUUUUUAAAAAAAUAGAUGUUAUUUCACUGCAAAAAUGAACAAGUAGCCUUAUACUUUGUACUCAUUUUUGCCUUUUUCUUUUUCUGUUUCUUGGGGGUUUUUUCUUUAUCUUCUGCUCACCGUGCUUCAUUCCUGUUUCAGCCAUUCAUUUCCUGAAUAAGUCUGAUAAUGAGGGUUGCCUCGUUAUUACAUUCAAAUGGACUCUACCUCUCUGGAUGUUGCCAAAUCCUGCGAUGCUGUCAGCAAGAUAAGAUCCAAGUUGACUCACUUCACAUCCUUCAUCUUCAGCACAACUGUGGCUAAGCUUUGAACAACUAUGAAUAGCAAUCUAAAAGGCCUCUAAAAGGAUGCUGGUAAUGACACAGUCUGAGGCCCAACUUCUAUUGUUCAUCUGUAAGCAUGCUCCUUAGCUUCAGCUCCUUCAACUCUGAUAUCUAUGGCUAUUCUGUU